UGGGGCGUGGCCAAGUGGUUAAGGCACCGGACUUUGACUCCGGCACUCGUAGGUUCGAAUCCUACCGCCCCAGCCA
This 76-nucleotide transfer RNA is filed under the name Gammaproteobacteria bacterium. Its description in RNAcentral is "tRNA-Gln". It matches the Rfam family "tRNA". Rfam says of the family: Transfer RNA (tRNA) molecules are approximately 80 nucleotides in length. Their secondary structure includes four short double-helical elements and three loops (D, anti-codon, and T loops). Further hydrogen bonds mediate the characteristic L-shaped molecular structure. tRNAs have two regions of fundamental functional importance: the anti-codon, which is responsible for specific mRNA codon recognition, and the 3' end, to which the tRNAs corresponding amino acid is attached (by aminoacyl-tRNA synthetases). tRNAs cope with the degeneracy of the genetic code in two manners: having more than one tRNA (with a specific anti-codon) for a particular amino acid; and 'wobble' base-pairing, i.e. permitting non-standard base-pairing at the 3rd anti-codon position. The record is from RNAcentral. Lineage: Bacteria; Pseudomonadati; Pseudomonadota; Gammaproteobacteria. RNAcentral also lists the same sequence under 2 other names.